RNAcentral lists this ribosomal RNA (501 nucleotides) under Candida viswanathii. RNAcentral describes it as "eukaryotic LSU rRNA". It matches the Rfam family "Eukaryotic large subunit ribosomal RNA", at positions 281 to 802 of the family's 3401-position model. The record is from RNAcentral. Lineage: Eukaryota; Fungi; Ascomycota; Pichiomycetes; Serinales; Debaryomycetaceae.
UGCAGCUCUAAGUGGGUGGUAAAUUCCAUCUAAAGCUAAAUAUUGGCGAGAGACCGAUAGCGAACAAGUACAGUGAUGGAAAGAUGAAAAGAACUUUGAAAAGAGAGUGAAAAAGUACGUGAAAUUGUUGAAAGGGAAGGGCUUGAGAUCAGACUUGGCAUUUUGCAUGUUGCUUCUUCGGGGGCGGCCUCUGCGGUUUGUCGGGCCAGCAUCAGUUUGGGCGGUAGGACAAUCGCGCGGGAAUGUGGCACGGCCUCGGCUGUGUGUUAUAGCCCGCGUGGAUACUGCCAGCCUAGACUGAGGACUGCGGUUUAUACCUAGGAUGUUGGCAUAAUGAUCUUAAGUCGCCCGUCUUGAAACACGGACCAAGGAGUCUAACGUCUAUGCGAGUGUUUGGGUGUAAAACCCGUACGCGUAAUGAAAGUGAACGUAGGUGGGGGCCCUCUCGGGGGUGCACCAUCGACCGAUCCUGAUGUCUUCGGAUGGAUUUGAGUAAGAGCA